This 533-nucleotide ribosomal RNA is filed under the name uncultured Bacteroidota bacterium. RNAcentral describes it as "bacterial SSU rRNA". It matches the Rfam family "Bacterial small subunit ribosomal RNA", at positions 268 to 801 of the family's 1533-position model. The record is from RNAcentral. Lineage: Bacteria; Pseudomonadati; Bacteroidota.
CCAAGACAGCGAUAGGUAGGGGUCCUGAGAGGGAGAUCCCCCACACUGGUACUGAGACACGGACCAGACUCCUACGGGAGGCAGCAGUGAGGAAUAUUGGGCAAUGGAGGAGACUCUGACCCAGCCAUGCCGCGUGCAGGAAGACUGCCCUAUGGGUUGUAAACUGCUUUUAUACAGGAAGAAACCGUGGUAUGUAUACCACCUUGACGGUACUGUAAGAAUAAGGACCGGCUAACUCCGUGCCAGCAGCCGCGGUAAUACGGAGGGUCCAAGCGUUAUCCGGAAUCAUUGGGUUUAAAGGGUCCGCAGGCGGUCAAUUAAGUCAGAGGUGAAAUACCAUAGCUCAACUAUGGAACUGCCUUUGAUACUGGUUGACUUGAGUCAUAUGGAAGUAGAUAGAAUGUGUAGUGUAGCGGUGAAAUGCAUAGAUAUUACACAGAAUACCGAUUGCGAAGGCAGUCUACUACGUAUGUACUGACGCUCUACAAACCAUAUCACAGUUCGGAUCGGAGUCUGCAACUCGACUCCGUGAA